UUUCUCUGCUCUUUUCCCGUUUAUUC
RNAcentral lists this unclassified non-coding RNA (26 nucleotides) under Mus musculus (house mouse). Its description in RNAcentral is "oocyte_clustered_small_RNA8524". Lineage: Eukaryota; Metazoa; Chordata; Mammalia; Rodentia; Muridae. The record is from RNAcentral.